RNA transcript from Magnolia sinica, 3969 nucleotides. It is a transcript of the gene named PWWP domain-containing protein 3-like, with no coding region annotated. The transcript is spliced from 4 exons. The record is from RefSeq and is a predicted model, not a curated record. NCBI's taxonomy places the organism in Eukaryota, Viridiplantae, Streptophyta, Magnoliopsida, Magnoliales, Magnoliaceae.
CCAACAUAAAAAAAAGGCCAAAAGGGUGCGCAGUAUGCACCGUCCGUAUUAUAGAAUGCAUCAGAUGUUAUCCGAGAGAAUCAGGAGAAGACGAAUCUACACUUUCAUUUUCUCCUGAGCGGGAAUCCCACAUCUCAUCUCAUUCUCAUCACUCUCUCGAAAAUCUCUGCUGUGAAAAUCCUCUUCAGCCUGAGUUAUUGAGUAGAUGGAUGUUAGCUUGCCUGAAAAUGGGCAGAUACUGGGAGAUGAAGUUACAGAAAUGCAUGUUACCCUACAGAAGAUGAAGAAAAUUGAGGACAUUUUAGAUGAGAAGCACAAUAAUGCAGUCCCUGUUAAGGACGUGGUCAUUGCUAGGGCUGACGAGAAGCAGCAAAUGUUACCAGGAGUUGCAUCUUCAGGCAUUGAUGAGGACCGUGGUACUGCUGAGAAAGUUACAGUAGAUGGAAAUCAAGAUUCGGAUGAUGGUGUUCCACGUCAGGAGAAUGUGGUGCCUGGAACUCAGGGCAUUGAAGUUGAUGUUUCAGUGUCAGUUGAAGAAGAGGAAGAGGAGGAUGUGGAAAUGGAUGCUCAAGAACACCAAUUUUCUGUGGGUGAUUUUGUGUGGGGUAAAAUUAAAAGUCACCCUUGGUGGCCUGGACAGAUCUAUAACCCUUCAGAUGCAUCGGGUAAUGCAGGGAAGUACCGUCGGAGGGACCGUGUGCUGGUGGCAUAUUUUGGGGAUGACACAUUUGCAUGGUGCUACCCAUCUCAAUUAAAGCCAUUUCGGAAGGACUUUGAACAGAUGUCAAAGCAGAGUAAUUCUAAAAGCUUCACUAAUGCUGUAGAGGAGGCUUUGAAUGAGCUUGGCAGAUGCAUAGAGUCAGAGAUGGCAUGUUCUUGUGUACUGGAGGAAACCCGGACUGGGCUCACUAGACCACUUGCUGUAAAUGCUGGAAUAAAGGAAGGAGUAACUAUACCCGAGGGUCAUAUUGGUGAACUUUCCAUCACUGAAUUUGAACCUGCAAGCUUCCUUGUGCAUCUAAGAGAUAUUGCUCGAGUUGUUUCUGUAAUCGAUUUGCUUGAACUCACUGUGCUCCGGUGUCGGUUAUCGGCCUUCUUUCGUGCAAAAGGAUGUGGCCCAUUGCCUGCAUACCAUGAACCUCAGGGGAUUACGGAUCCUGAAGAGAAUGCUGACGAAAAUCUGGGAUAUGAUGAAACUGAGUUGGAUGGUAAGGGGGAUCUAACGCAAAACCCAGCUGAAGAAGGCUGGCUUUCUUCGCCAGUGACCAGCCGCAAACGUGGGAAUAGCUUGUCUGGAAAACGGCUACAGAUCUCAGAGGAUAAACUAUAUCAGAGGAAGAAGAAGAGCAUGGCUGAACUUAUGGGAGAGAAAAUGGAUUCCGAACCUGAAACUGAUGGCAGUGAUGCGGUGGAAGAAGGAAAGGUGGUUGGUAAACCUGCUUUGCCAUCCAAAAGGCAGGAAAAGACCAAGCAUUCUGCAUCUCCAUCCGCAAGAACAGAGAAUAAGGAUAAGAACAGCGAAGAUGUGGAUAAAGAAGGCAAGACUGCCAGUAAAUCUGCUUCAUUAUCAAGGAAGAGAAAGAAGAGCAAUAAGACUUCCGAAGCUCCUUCAAUGGCGGAAGGCAACAGGACUACUGAUGCUGAAAAUGAUGAUACUGGGGCUGAGGAAGGGACAGUCUUGAGUUCGCCGAGGAUACGGAAGAAGAGUAAGUAUUUAUCACCCCCCUACACAUUUUUAGGGGGGUUUAAGGGCAUGAUCUUAAAAGAUGAUGUAGAAAUAGAAUCCCCGAAGGAUCCAAUCUCUUCUCGGCUCAGAGAGUCUAUUCAGACAAAAGAUGCUGAGGCAGAAACUCCAGAAGAAACUUCAGGGAUUCCGCAGAUUGACGAGUCAGGAAGCAGGAUUGUGAGCCGGCUUACUGGAUCUCCUCCCAUUGUAAAAUGUGGCGGUGAGACCUUUCAGAAAAGAGCUGCCAAGGGAUCCCGUGUUGGACGUAAAACACCUGGCAACUUCAGUCCGAGGACGCCAAAGGAAGAUUGGACUGCUCAUGUAGUGGAGAUGGAUAAUGCAUCUGCACAUAAGAUGCUUUCAGAAAUCCGUUUAGUAGCCCUUGAUACACUAUAUCUCAAGGGCGGCCGUUCUUCUGAUAGAGUUGUGGGUUUCUUUGCUGGAUUUAGGCGCUAUGUGUAUUGUGGGGUUUCUGACUAUGGGACUGACAAGAAAUACGGGAAGGGUAGAGUUGGUAGAAAGAGGAAAUCACAACUCACUGAACAUGGUUCGCUGGAAAAAACUGAACAUGGUUUGCCAGAAAAACAUUCUGGCGAGGGGGAGAAGUCCAUGGCAGGUUCGCAUGGUAGAAAGAGAAAAACCCAACUUACUGAACAUGGUUUGUUGGAAAAAAGUACUGGUGAGGGGUUAAAGUCCAUGGCAGGUUCACGUGGUAGAAAGAGAAAAUCCCAACUUACUGAACAUGGUUUGGUGGAAAAAAGUUCUGGCGAGGGGGACUGGUCCAUGGCAGGUUCAGGUGGUAGAAAGAGAGAAACACAACUUACUGGACAUGGCUUGUUGGAAAAAAAUUCUGUCGAGGGGGGCCAAUCCAUGGAAGAUUCAGGUGGUAAAAUGAUGAAAACCCAACUUACUGAACAUGGUUUGCUGGAAAACAAUUCUGGCGAGAAGGACCAAUCGAUGGAAGAUUCAGGUGGUAGAAAGAGGGAAACCCAACAUACUGAACGUGCUUCCUCGGAAAAAAGUUCUGGUGGGGCAGACCUAUCUAUGGCAGGUUCAGGUGUUAGAAAGAGAAAAACCCAUCUUAACCAGCAUGGUUUGUUGGGUAAGAAUUCUGGCGAGGCCAACCUGACUUUGGCAGAUUUAUCUGGUAAAAAGAGAAGACCUCGACUCAUUGAAUGUGGUCCAUUGGAAAAGAAUUCUGGUGAGGGCGACCUACCUGAAGAUAAAUCUCAAGUGAAGAAACGGAAAGUGAAGGAUGUAGCAACUGCACAACUUUCAAAAAAGAAGUCGGGACAAUCUACUAAAGGAAAAGUGGGCCGGCCUCGUCGUGUUGCUGUCAGUUCAGGCAUUGAGACAGCCAAUGGAGAAAGGUCAGCAGCUCUGCUCUUGACCUUUGCACCAGGUAUCACAUUGCCUUCAAAAGACGAUCUUUUAAAGGUAUUCGGUAAGUUUGGAGAUUUGAAGGAGUCCGAAACAGAAGUGUUGAAAGAUUCAGGCUGUGCUCGUAUCGUCUUUGCGAAAAUCUCUGAUGCCGAAGAAGCCUUCAAUGGCCCCGAGAGGAAAAGUGCUUUUGGACUACCUGUCGUUGGUUGCCGACUGAAAUAUCCACCGGUUGCUUAUAAAGCUCUGGAAACCAACGGUGCCUUACAUAUUCCACCUGCUGAAGGAGUUGGGGCCAUUAUAGCCUCAUCGCAGGCCACUGCUGGGCCCCAGCUGCAGUUCAUGCAACAGAACCUGGAAAUGAUGAUGUCAAUGCUCUCUGAGUCUGCAGGAGAAGGUGCGGGAUCAGGGGAGAAGCUGUCUCCGGAGGUGAGAGCGAACUUAGCAGGUGAGAUCGACGGCCUCCUGAAGAAGGUGGCCACACUGCCUUUGUAAGCUUCUGCCUACGUGGAGAUGUAGGAAUUACAUGCAGCAUGACGGCUUAUCAUUCCACACCGUUGGAUUGGUUUCCCCCAGCGAGACAGGUACCUGGGCGACUUGUCAGGUGGGCCACACUGUUGAUGAUCAGCCCAAAGAUUUGGCCGGUCUGCUUAUCAGGUAGUUUCCAUGCGCACGAAUGAAUGCAUUGUAAAGGAACUGUCCAUAUUCAACAUGCAUGUUGGGCGGCCUGAUGAGUGGGCCAGCCUGAUUUUUGUGCCAGAGCAUAUACAUUGUGGGGCUUGAUUGAUAAGCAGCUUGCAAUUCGCACAUUUGGUAGAGAGAUCAAAUGUCCAAUAAGCAAACCUAUAGAAUGUGAUUAUUUA